RNAcentral lists this ribosomal RNA (253 nucleotides) under uncultured bacterium. RNAcentral's name for it is "partial 16S ribosomal RNA". It matches the Rfam family "Bacterial small subunit ribosomal RNA", at positions 524 to 776 of the family's 1533-position model. The record is from RNAcentral.
UACAGAGGUCCCAAGCGUUGUUCGGAUUUACUGGGCGUAAAGGGUGCGUAGGAGGUUGGCAAAGUCGGGUGUGAAAUCUCACCGCUUAACGGUGAAAUUGCGCUCGAUACUGGUUGACUAGAGUAUCGGAGGGGAAAGCGGAAUUCCUGGUGUAGCGGUGAAAUGCGUAGAUAUCAGGAGGAACACCAAUAGCGAAGGCAGCUCGCUGGGACGGUAUUGACGCUAAGGCGCGAAAGCGUGGGGAGCAAACAGG